GUGUGCAAUUAUUCUAUUAUGGAGAUGUCAGUUCAUUACAACGCUACUCCGGCUUUUUUCUCCUACAACAAGACUUGCGUAUGGCUACAGGUUCAUAUCAAGGAAGUUUAGAAAAAUUGCAGCGCCUUUCAGUUCAUUGUAUGAAAAAAGCAAAGUUCAUCUUGUCUAGUACAGGUUGCUGCUGGUGUCCGUUCAUUGUCGAUUUCGUUUUGGGAAAUUUCCAAAACUUAAUGCUGAGAACGGAUGCAGUUUGAUCUUGUGCAAGUUGGAAAUUCCCUGAUGCUGAGUGUGUCAGUACAACCCUACGUCACACAGGAAACAGUGUGUGUACAUUUUUGGAUUUAAUUUUGGAAGGUUCACACAUCCAUAUUAGAGAGAUUCAUCGGACAUAAUUUUGUACAACAACAACAACAAAGCCUUUAGUCCCAAACAAGUUGGGGUAGGCUAGAGGUGAAACCCAUAAGAUCUCGCAAUCAACUCAUGGCUCUGGCACAUGGAUAGCAAGCUUCCACGUACCCCUGUCCAUAGCUAACUCCCUCUUGGUGUUCUCAUUGUGGCCUACUUGCGGGGCAUACGCGCUGAUAACAUUGAGAACCAAGUCCUCAACUAUCAGCUUGACCAAGAUAAUCCGGUCCCCACGUCUCUUGACGUCUACCACUCCAUACUUGAGACUCUUAUUGAUCAAGAUGCCUACGCCAUUUCUGUUUGCAGCCGUCCCCGUGUACCACAGCUUGAAGCCGGUAUCCUCCACCUCCUUCGCCUUCUGUCCUCUCCAUUUGGUUUCUUGGAUGCAAAGGAUAUCAACACCUCUCCUCACCGCUGCAUCAACUAGCUCCCGAAGCUUCCCUGUCAGAGACCCUACAUUCCAGCUACCUAAGCGAAUCCUCCUAGGCUCGGCUAGCUUCCUUACCCUUCGCACCCAUCGAGUCAAAUGCGAAGACCCUUGCUCAUUUUCCACUACACCCGGGCGCCGAUGUAGCGCGCCACUAAGGAUGCGACGACCCGAUCCUCGCUCACUUGCCAUCGUAUCCGGAUCAAGAUACGGCGCGCCACUUGGGGGGUGAUGGCCCGGCCCUUGCCCACUUUCCACCACACCCGGGUUCCGAUGUGGCGCGUCGCUGAGAGGGUUACGCCCCAACAAAAAUAUUUUGGGUUUCAUAUCCAUAAGAGUGGCUGAGUUUUUACGUUGCUCGCCAAGCCUGUCACAACCCUCCUCCUUUACCCGGGCUUGGGACCGGCUAUGUUGAGACAACAUAGGCGGAGUUAUCGGACAUAAUUUUGUAAGUUUAGAAAAAGCAAU
This 1300-nucleotide long non-coding RNA is filed under the name Triticum aestivum (bread wheat). Its description in RNAcentral is "long non-coding RNA (TAES_LNC015717)". The record is from RNAcentral. Lineage: Eukaryota; Viridiplantae; Streptophyta; Magnoliopsida; Poales; Poaceae.